CAGUAGCCGCGGGAAUACGAAGGGGGCUAGCGUUGUUCGGAAUCACUGGGCGUAAAGGGUGCGUAGGCGGAUUCUUAAGUCAGGGGUGAAAUCCCGAGGCUCAACCUCGGAACUGCCUUUGAUACUGGGGAUCUUGAGUCCGGAAGAGGUGAGUGGAACUGCGAGUGUAGAGGUGAAAUUCGUAGAUAUUCGCAAGAACACCGGUGGCGAAGGCGGCUCACUGGUCCGGAACUGACGCUGAGGCACGACAGCGUGGGGAGCAAACAGGAUUAGAUACCCCAGUAGUCCCUGUCUCUUAUAC
RNAcentral lists this ribosomal RNA (301 nucleotides) under uncultured bacterium. Its description in RNAcentral is "partial 16S ribosomal RNA". It matches the Rfam family "Bacterial small subunit ribosomal RNA", at positions 509 to 807 of the family's 1533-position model. The record is from RNAcentral.